Oncorhynchus tshawytscha (Chinook salmon) is the source of this 2800-nucleotide long non-coding RNA. RefSeq lists it as uncharacterized. The transcript has 4 exons. The record is from RefSeq and is a predicted model, not a curated record. NCBI's taxonomy places the organism in Eukaryota, Metazoa, Chordata, Actinopteri, Salmoniformes, Salmonidae.
CACACACACUGUACCAACAGCUGGAUGUUGUUAACCAAUAAGCUAACUAAUAAGCUACAGCUCCUUAUCAAACCUAACAAAAAAAAUCCAUCUUCAAGCACAAAACUAGCAAGAUGUAAAAUAUGUAAAGACUUGAUCUAGAAAAAAACAAUGUAUUAUGCUUUAUUAUUUUAGUUAGAAAAGGGGGUGAAUUAGACAGGAAAAAAGUGCCCUCUUUGUUUUUAUUUUUCUUGUCACUCCUGUUGGCUGUGCCACGUAGACGUUUGUGCUUUCUGAUUGGCUAGAGUCAAGUUGUCGGCAGCUCCCGAGAAUUGUGAUUCUUCAAGCGGAAACGGCAGGUUCGUCGGUACAAGGUCAGUAAGCAGCAGGUACAUCUUUUUGUUCCAGCAAGAGAAGGAACUCCUACUGUGGUCUCAGUCACUAAGGACUUCCCAGGAACUGAGCGAACUGAGCUUUAGACACUUCUUGAGUUUCCAGUUCUCUUGAAAGCAUCAUAAAACCAGAAAUUUACCCACGAAGGACCACCGUGCCACCUUCCUGUACAAUGACAUGGUAAGGGGCCAAUGAUCCAGGCAGCAGCAGUAGCAGCAGCAGCAGCUGUGGUUUGUGAGAGGAGAGCAUCUCAUGUUGGAGACUGAUUGGCUGGCUGGCUAGUUGGCUGACUGCUAAGCUGCAAUCACAACAGAAUCCCAGAGGACAUACUUAGCCACUCUAUUCAGAUCCACCAUGAAGACAAAGCAACUUCAAUCUCUGUGUCGCUAGCUGGAUGCAGCACAGCCAGAAAUUAAAGUGUGGCUACAGCGCCAUCUGUUGGUCACAGACACUAGCACACAGACAGUACUGUGCCCUGAGUUGAAAACUAGAGGUGAAAAUAAAAACUUCCAUUUGGAGAUUAGGUUUGCUAGAUUGAAUUGAAUGGAGAUAGAGAUUCUUCCAAGGAAUAGUGGCUGAGUGAAUGUGAUACGAUAUAGUACGUGCUUGGAAAGUGCGUCCUUGAGUGAAAACUUCGACACUACAUUCUUUACAAAUAAGAAAAAAACAUAUCAAAAAGAGAACCCAUGCAAUUUUCCAUCAAAUUAAAAUUGGAUUUGUUUGUGUGAUUUCAUUAUGACUAUGCCGGCCUAGUGAAAAGUGUUUCAGCUGAAAGGAGAGGUUAAACUGCCUGCCAUUGAAAACACAUAGUCCUUGAGAAACAACCGAGAAGGCUUGAGCACACACUCAUGUACACACACACACACAUACACACACACCCCAUCAGAGGGCUUCUAUUGUGGCUUAGGCUUAUGGCAUUUAGGAGAGCUGUGAUCGCAGCACAGAGAGCACAGCAGACCACGGAUCACAAUUAACUCAUUGUGUCUGCCACUUGUAAUGGCUCUAAACCCACAGGAGAGGAGAGAGGGGUCAGGUGUGAUCAUGCUGACAGAGAGGGGGCAGGUGUGAUCAUGCUGACAGAGAGGGGUCAGGUGUGAUCAUGCUGACAGAGAGGGGUCAGGUGUGAUCAUGCUGACAGAGAGGGGUCGGGUGUGAUCAUGCUGACAGAGAGGGGUCGGGUGUGAUCAUGCUGACAGAAAGGGGUCAGGUGUAUUCAUGCUGACAGAGUGGGGUCAGGUGUGAUCAUGCUGACAGAGAGGAGUCAGGUGUGAUCAUGCUGACAGAGAAGGGUCGGGUGUGAUCAUGCUGACAGAGAGGGGGCGGGUGUGAUCAUGCUGACAGAGAGGGGUCGGGUGUGAUCGUGCUGACAGAGAGGGGUCGGGUGUAUUCAUGCUGACAGAGAGGGGUCAGGUGUGAUCAUGCUGGCAGAGAGGGGUCGGGUGUAUUCAUGCUGACAGAGAGGGGUCGGGUGUGAUCAUGCUGACAGAGGAGGGGUUGGGUGUGAUCAUGCUGACAGAGAGGGGUCAGGUGUGAUCAUGCUGGCAGAGAGGGGUCGGGUGUGAUCAUGCUGGCAGAGAGGGGUCGGGUGAGAUCAUGCUGGCAGAGAGGGGUCGGGUGUGAUCAUGCUGACAGAGAGGGGUCGGGUGAGAUCAUGCUGACAGAGAGGGGUCGGGUAGGAUCAUGCUGACAGAGAGGGGUCGGGUGUGAUCGUGCUGACAGAGAGGUGUCUGCUCUGCUGUAUCCCUGCCCACUGGGCUCCAUCACCACAAGAAAGGAGGGAAGGUGCCCCUGCCCACUGGAGUCUGUUCUCAACACACCUAUAUCUACUCUCGCAGUCUGGAGUUAGGACUAGAAAUAUGCUCCAUUUAAUGUAAAUUAUAAUUUGAAAUGGUUCUAAUGUGUCAAUUAAUCGAAUAAAUACCGCACAAAACAUGAACCUUAUCUCUAAUAUUAAUGCCUUAACACAUAAAACAACUAGGUGAGAUUCAGAUGUCCAUCAUGAUCCCUUACGGAUACAGUCAGUAAUACAACUGUCUGGACUUCAGCACUAGAUUGGAACAGUUUGUCCAGCUCUCAUCUAUCACGCUGACAGACCAUCCAGUAUUUCUCACGUCUACAUUAAUCACUGUUCUGCCUAUUAGCUCUGAAGGGUAUGUUCUCCGGCAAAAGGCCUCACUCACUCUCCGCUGAAUACAUACAGACAUGCACGCUCGCUUGUAGGCAUGCACACACACAGAGAGAGAAACACACACACACACACGAGAGAGGAAUACCACACACUCACACACAUAGAGGUGGGAAAGGCCACACUCUCCAUUGAAUUCCUCUGAGAGAGCAGGACUGAUGCCUCACUGCCGAGCCUUACGGCAUGCCCUGCCCUCUGCUGCCUACCAGCCAUAUAGAUUAUUUCAGUCUGUGUGUGUAUUCA